GAAUAUUGGACAAUGGGCGCAAGCCUGAUCCAGCCAUGCCGCGUGCAGGAAGACGGCCCUAUGGGUUGUAAAGCUCUUUUACCCGGGAUGAUAAUGACAGUACCGGGAGAAUAAGCUCCGGCUAACUCCGUGCCAGCAGCCGCGGUAAUACGGAGGGAGCUAGCGUUGUUCGGAAUUACUGGGCGUAAAGCGCGCGUAGGCGGUUACUCAAGUCAGAGGUGAAAGCCCGGGGCUCAACCCCGGAACUGCCUUUGAAACUAGGUGACUAGAAUCUUGGAGAGGUCAGUGGAAUUCCGAGUGUAGAGGUGAAAUUCGUAGAUAUUCGGAAGAACACCAGUGGCGAAGGCGACUGACUGGACAAGUAUUGACGCUGAGGUGCGAAAGCGUGGGGAGCAAA
Molecule: ribosomal RNA, 397 nt
Filed under: uncultured bacterium
Lineage: Bacteria
Description: bacterial SSU rRNA
Rfam family: Bacterial small subunit ribosomal RNA
Source: RNAcentral